RNAcentral lists this ribosomal RNA (426 nucleotides) under Triticum aestivum (bread wheat). RNAcentral describes it as "partial small subunit ribosomal RNA". Lineage: Eukaryota; Viridiplantae; Streptophyta; Magnoliopsida; Poales; Poaceae. The record is from RNAcentral.
AUGGAAGGGGUGGCGGGGCUGAUGAAGGGACUGCGACUGUCAGAGGAAGAGAAGAAGGGGGUGAAGAUUAGACUGUCAGCGAAGGAUAAGGGGAAGAGCGUGGAAUUGCAGGCGGUGGGGAAGGUGGUGUCAGAUCGACUAGCGCACGCCGAUGCCAUCCGGUUGUCGCUGGGUAAGGUGUGGUGCCCCAUUAAGGGCAUCGAUUGCAAAGAAGUGGGGGAGAACCGAUUCAUGUUCACGUUCUACCAAGAUUCGGGGAAGAGGAAGGCGCUUGAUAAUGGGCCCUGGAUGUUCGAUAAAGACCUGGUUGUAGUGGAAGAUUUUGUGCCCAGGAAGAGAAUUGAAGACUAUGAGUUUAGUAAUAUUCCGAUAUGGGUGAGGGUUUAUAAUUUACCUCUUGGGAUGAUGAAUGCGGAGUCAGCAGAG